Molecule: ribosomal RNA, 1296 nt
Filed under: Paenarthrobacter sp.
Lineage: Bacteria; Bacillati; Actinomycetota; Actinomycetes; Micrococcales; Micrococcaceae
Description: bacterial SSU rRNA
Rfam family: Bacterial small subunit ribosomal RNA
Source: RNAcentral
UAGUGGCGAACGGGUGAGUAACACGUGAGUAACCUGCCCUUGACUCUGGGAUAAGCCUGGGAAACUGGGUCUAAUACCGGAUACGACUAUCUGACGCAUGUCAUGGUGGUGGAAAGCUUUUGCGGUUUUGGAUGGACUCGCGGCCUAUCAGCUUGUUGGUGGGGUAAUGGCCUACCAAGGCGACGACGGGUAGCCGGCCUGAGAGGGUGACCGGCCACACUGGGACUGAGACACGGCCCAGACUCCUACGGGAGGCAGCAGUGGGGAAUAUUGCACAAUGGGCGAAAGCCUGAUGCAGCGACGCCGCGUGAGGGAUGACGGCCUUCGGGUUGUAAACCUCUUUCAGUAGGGAAGAAGCGAAAGUGACGGUACCUGCAGAAGAAGCGCCGGCUAACUACGUGCCAGCAGCCGCGGUAAUACGUAGGGCGCAAGCGUUAUCCGGAAUUAUUGGGCGUAAAGAGCUCGUAGGCGGUUUGUCGCGUCUGCUGUGAAAGACCGGGGCUCAACUCCGGUUCUGCAGUGGGUACGGGCAGACUAGAGUGCAGUAGGGGAGACUGGAAUUCCUGGUGUAGCGGUGAAAUGCGCAGAUAUCAGGAGGAACACCGAUGGCGAAGGCAGGUCUCUGGGCUGUAACUGACGCUGAGGAGCGAAAGCAUGGGGAGCGAACAGGAUUAGAUACCCUGGUAGUCCAUGCCGUAAACGUUGGGCACUAGGUGUGGGGGACAUUCCACGUUUUCCGCGCCGUAGCUAACGCAUUAAGUGCCCCGCCUGGGGAGUACGGCCGCAAGGCUAAAACUCAAAGGAAUUGACGGGGGCCCGCACAAGCGGCGGAGCAUGCGGAUUAAUUCGAUGCAACGCGAAGAACCUUACCAAGGCUUGACAUGAACCGGAAAGACCUGGAAACAGGUGCCCCGCUUGCGGUCGGUUUACAGGUGGUGCAUGGUUGUCGUCAGCUCGUGUCGUGAGAUGUUGGGUUAAGUCCCGCAACGAGCGCAACCCUCGUUCUAUGUUGCCAGCGCGUUAUGGCGGGGACUCAUAGGAGACUGCCGGGGUCAACUCGGAGGAAGGUGGGGACGACGUCAAAUCAUCAUGCCCCUUAUGUCUUGGGCUUCACGCAUGCUACAAUGGCCGGUACAAAGGGUUGCGAUACUGUGAGGUGGAGCUAAUCCCAAAAAGCCGGUCUCAGUUCGGAUUGGGGUCUGCAACUCGACCCCAUGAAGUCGGAGUCGCUAGUAAUCGCAGAUCAGCAACGCUGCGGUGAAUACGUUCCCGGGCCUUGUACACACCGCCCGUCAA